CCUACGGGUGGCAGCAGUGAGGAAUAUUGGUCAAUGGACGCAAGUCUGAACCAGCCAUGCCGCGUGCAGGAAGACGGCUCUAUGAGUUGUAAACUGCUUUUGUACGAGGGUAAACGCAGAUACGCGUAUCAGUCUGAAAGUAUCGUACGAAUAAGGCUCGGCUAACUCCGUGACAGCAGCCGCGGUAAUACGGAGGAGUCAAGCGUUAUACGGAUUUAUUGGGUUUAAAGGGUGCGUAGGCGGUCUGAUAAGUUAGAGGUGAAAUCCCGAGGCUCAACUUCGGAAUUGCCUCUGAUACUGUUCGGCUAGAGAGUAGGAGCGGUAGGCGGAAUGUAUGGUGUAGCGGUGAAAUGCGUAGAGAUCAUACAGAACACCGAUUGCGAAGGCAGCUUACCAAGCUACUUCUGACGUUGAGGCACGAAAGCGUGGGGAGCAAACAGGAUUAGAUACCCCUGUAGUA
RNAcentral lists this ribosomal RNA (460 nucleotides) under uncultured bacterium. Its description in RNAcentral is "partial 16S ribosomal RNA". It matches the Rfam family "Bacterial small subunit ribosomal RNA", at positions 338 to 795 of the family's 1533-position model. The record is from RNAcentral.